GCGGAUGUGGUGGAAUUGGUAGACACGCCAGAUUUAGGUUCUGGUGCCGUGAGGCGUGGGGGUUCAAGUCCCUUCAUCCGUACCA
RNAcentral lists this transfer RNA (85 nucleotides) under Rhodobacterales bacterium 52_120_T64. RNAcentral describes it as "tRNA-Leu". It matches the Rfam family "tRNA". From Rfam's summary of the family: Transfer RNA (tRNA) molecules are approximately 80 nucleotides in length. Lineage: Bacteria; Pseudomonadati; Pseudomonadota; Alphaproteobacteria; Rhodobacterales. RNAcentral also lists the same sequence under 2 other names. The record is from RNAcentral.